Rosa rugosa (rugosa rose) is the source of this 1285-nucleotide long non-coding RNA. RefSeq lists it as uncharacterized. The record is from RefSeq and is a predicted model, not a curated record. The transcript has 5 exons. NCBI's taxonomy places the organism in Eukaryota, Viridiplantae, Streptophyta, Magnoliopsida, Rosales, Rosaceae.
ACUAUAUACUAAAGUUGGUGAUCUACUGUUCAUCAGCUUAGUAACAGUGCCAGCUUGAGCCGACCCGUUACAUGAAAAGACGAUUUUGCCCCUGCAUGCUGUUUCUUGCUUCGACACCUGGGUUGCUGUUCAGUGCUAUCGUGUCUUUCCUACUUCGCUCCACAGAGAGGUAGAUAGUGCUAUCAGGCGUGCAUCACAGACUUGCCAAAACCAGUACCAAGUCCCUCGAUUCGACCGUCGGUGGUAGAAGCAGGGGAAUGCUGAAACCAGUCGGACUCGGCCGAAGAAUAAGCAAGCCCACCCUUAGCGACCUCGAAACACCGUCAUUUCCGCAAGGUGAAGACGACCACUUGAAACCACCAUGGAGAAAAGACAACAAAUCUGACCUUCUACCCAGAUCCCACCCUUCCAUCACCAACUCUUUCCUUCCAAUCAAAGCCCGAUUUCGUUGACAACGCCAAACCAACCAUGCUUGAGCGACCUCCUUUUCGCUCUCUCGAAUCUGAACUCUCUCAAAUAUCCUUCAAAUUUCUUGAUCGUGAUUGAGGUAGACGCAUCGUUUUCAUCUUCCAGUUUCGAUUGAGGUGGCAACUUUUUGAUCAAAUCAAAGGAUCCGAUUGAGCAAUCAGAUGUCUUUAAGAUUUUGAGCUUCGAUCAGGGUUGCAAUUGGUGAUGGCUUCGGUUGCUGUGGUUGAGGUCUGAGUUUUUGAUUUGGUUGGAUGUGUGGAAACUAAGGGGUUAGAUUGGCAAAAGCUGUACAGAAGUUGGGAAGAUAAUCCGGAUGUCAGUUGUAUUGCACUAAGGGCAGUGGCAAGGCAUUUUGUGAGGAUAGAGAUAGACAGACAUUAGCAAGAAAAACAAAAAGAACACAAGCCAAUGUUUCAUGGAAAAUGACACACCCUGAACUGAAAAAACAAAUGAUGAAAUCAAAAUGGCUAAAUUGGAAGCUAAACUUGGCAGUGAGAUGAGCAAAAUUGAAGGCCUUACUGGCAAGUCUUCCAAGCUACUAGCAUUUUGCUGACCAAAUUUGAUAUGCUGAGCGUUGUUUCUUCCCAUGUUGCAGGCAAGGAAAAAGGAUUAUGUUUCAAAUCUUUUUGAGCAUGAUACUGAUACCCAUGGCUUAUGAAAUAUAAUAUGUAAAAGGUUUCCAAUAACCAUUUAUAGUUGUUCCAACAGUGAUUGUAAGUAAGAUUGUUCCAACAGUGAUUGUAAGUAAGAAUACUCAAUAUUCUUAUAAUUCCAGUGGUUGAUCUCAUAUUAUGUAACGUCAAUGCAGUAUUAUAAA